ACUCAAAGGAAUAGACGGGGGCUCACACAAGCGGUGGAGCAUGUUGCUUAAUUCGAGGCAACGCGAAGAACCUUACCUGGGUUUGACAUGUACGGAUCAACUCUAUGAAAGUAGAGCCACAGUCGCAAGACCGGAACGUGCACAGGUGCUGCAUGGCUGUCGUCAGCUCGUGCUGUGAAGUGUCGGGUUAAGUCCCUUAACGAGCGCAACCCCUAUCGUUAGUUGCCACCAGGUCAUGCUGAGCACUCUAACGAGACUGCCGGCGUUAAGCCGGAGGAAGGUGGGGAUGACGUCAAGUCCUCAUGGCCCUUACAUCCAGGGUUGCAAACGUGCUACAAUGGUGCAUACAGAGCGAUGCAAGAGCGCAAGCUGGAGCAAAUCGCAAAAAGUGCACCCCAGUUCGGAUUGCGGGCUGCAACCCGCCCGCAUGAAGUCGGAAUCGCUAGUAAUCGGGGAUCAGCUACGCCCCGGUGAAUAAGUUCCUGAGCCUUGUACACACCGCCCGU
Molecule: ribosomal RNA, 506 nt
Filed under: uncultured bacterium
Lineage: Bacteria
Description: partial 16S ribosomal RNA
Rfam family: Bacterial small subunit ribosomal RNA
Source: RNAcentral